RNAcentral lists this transfer RNA (93 nucleotides) under Burkholderia multivorans. RNAcentral's name for it is "tRNA-His". Lineage: Bacteria; Pseudomonadati; Pseudomonadota; Betaproteobacteria; Burkholderiales; Burkholderiaceae. The record is from RNAcentral.
GCGGCGGCGGGCGCGACGGUGGUGCCGGUGCGGCCGUGGCUCGCACGCGGCGCGCUCGAAGCGGUCGCGCGCUUCUGGGGCGCGCGGCUGCGC